RNAcentral lists this ribosomal RNA (320 nucleotides) under uncultured Prevotella sp. Its description in RNAcentral is "bacterial SSU rRNA". It matches the Rfam family "Bacterial small subunit ribosomal RNA", at positions 28 to 339 of the family's 1533-position model. Lineage: Bacteria; Pseudomonadati; Bacteroidota; Bacteroidia; Bacteroidales; Prevotellaceae. The record is from RNAcentral.
GAUGAACGCUAGCUACAGGCUUAACACAUGCAAGUCGAGGGGCAGCAUUUUGAAAGCUUGCUUUCAAAGAUGGCGACCGGCGCACGGGUGAGUAACGCGUAUCCAACCUUCCCCUUAGUAGGGCAUAGCCCGGUGAAAAUCGGAUUAAUACCCUAUGUUCUUCGUAGAGGACAUCUGAAAUGAAGCAAAGGUUCACCGCUAAGGGAUGGGGAUGCGUUUGAUUAGGUAGUAGGCGGGGUAACGGCCCACCUAGCCGACGAUCAGUAGGGGUUCUGAGAGGAAGGUCCCCCACAUUGGAACUGAGACACGGUCCAAACUCC